Molecule: long non-coding RNA, 1281 nt
Organism: Gymnodraco acuticeps
Lineage: Eukaryota; Metazoa; Chordata; Actinopteri; Perciformes; Bathydraconidae
Exons: 3
Source: RefSeq, a predicted model, not a curated record
AUGGCUGCAACAAACUGUGAAUGAAAGUGUCUUUGUUUUACAGAACUGACGCUGUGCCACCAUGUGUGACUCUCCAUAUCAGUGUCUGUUACUAAGCUGCUUACUGCUCAGAGCCAUGUGUCUUUGCAUUACACUGUAACAUACUCCACUGGAUAAUCCAAUCUCCGCAACACACGGACAAAGUGCCACUGUGCACACAUAAUGAGAAACUGCUGUCUGAUAACACAGGCUCGUCAAAUGACUGAUAAGGAUGGAGACUGACUGAGAGGAAAACACAACAAGACAUCCAUCUUCAUCAGAGCAAAGACAAAGCAGAUACACAGAGUAAACAGACACCGUAUAAUUACAGCACAGACGCAGGCAGGAAGCACCUACCCAGAGUGGAUCUGUUCUUGCAGACGAGCCAGCAGUGGUAGGUCAGAAGAGAAGCCAGGCUGACGGAGAACGUGGAGGCCGAGAAGAAGAGGAACAGGAUGUGGAACUUAGCUUGAGUGUCUGGGAGGCCGUUCUGAGGGGGAGUAACAGCAUCAACAGAGCAGACACUUUGAGCCUGUGGGACCUGAGGGAUUUCUACUCUACUGGUGUUCUUGAGGAGCUUAUUAAAGGAAUACUUCACCUCUAACAUUAUUCUUUGUUAAAUGAAUCUCCCCAUGUUACAUUGAAUCAUUUAAGGAAACUUCAAUGCCUGUACGGUGAACACAUUAAAAAACGGAGAAGUAUUGCCAGACUUACCAGCCAGAACUUGAUGAAGUACUGAAGAUCUGUGGCGGUUAUAAAAAGGCAGUAGAGGAGUGAAUAUGCCAAGAACAGCAUGAAGAACUUGUAGUUGGCGAACCCCACACAGUUGUUCACCCUGCAGCGAGGAUGGAGAUCGUCUCCAUUUCAUCCCAAGUUUUCACAGAGGAGAUCUGCUUUCCGAGUGUUCUGAGAUGCUGCCAAAUAGAGCACAUGAGUUGGCUGCUGAGACUCCUCUGAGAUAUCCUAGAAACCAUAACUCAAUAUCCAGGUCAACUCUGUAUUCACGGCUCACCGAGAAGGAAGCUCUCCGUCUGGAACCGACCAUCCAACGUUCAGCAGCCGAUGGAACGUGAAGGAAGGAGGCCGGCCUGACUCUAAUGCCAUUACAGUCAGAGAUCUUGCCAAUAGAUAAUGCUGGUUCAACAAGUCCUCCAACUCAUACGACCAAAUGGGCCGAUUGUUCAAGCCCUUAUUACGACCAAAUAUGUCGUUUGUUCAAGCGAUUAAUACGACCUAUAAUUACGUUUUAAAAGUUGUCGGCCU